This 205-nucleotide long non-coding RNA is filed under the name Elaeis guineensis (African oil palm). RNAcentral describes it as "long non-coding RNA (EGUI_LNC010513)". Lineage: Eukaryota; Viridiplantae; Streptophyta; Magnoliopsida; Arecales; Arecaceae. The record is from RNAcentral.
UCACAUUUACGCAUUGUGGAUGGGACAUUGUUAAUUUACUAGCAUCAUUAUUAUCCAUCCAAUUUUCUCCUUCCUUUUCAACAUCCACAUCCACUGAUUAUUAUCCAUUGCCCAGCCUCUCUCUUAUUUGCCGGAGCUGUACAAAUAGAGACGUAGGGUAUGGUAAAUAGUAAAGAAGAGCAUUACAAAUCUCUCUCCCUUGUGC